CACAUGCUGUGAGCUCGAUGAGUAGGGCGGGACACGUGGUAUCCUGUCUGAAUAUGGGGGGACCAUCCUCCAAGGCUAAAUACUCCUGACUGACCGAUAGUGAACCAGUACCGUGAGGGAAAGGCGAAAAGAACCCCGGCGAGGGGAGUGAAAAAGAACCUGAAACCGUGUACGUACAAGCAGUGGGAGCACGCUUCGGCGUGUGACUGCGUACCUUUUGUAUAAUGGGUCAGCGACUUAUAUUCUGUAGCAAGGUUAACCGAAUAGGGGAGCCGAAGGGAAACCGAGUCUUAACUGGGCGUUAAGUUGCAGGGUAUAGACCCGAAACCCGGUGAUCUAGCCAUGGGCAGGUUGAAGGUUGGGUAACACUAACUGGAGGACCGAACCGACUAAUGUUGAAAAAUUAGCGGAUGACUUGUGGCUGGGGGUGAAAGGCCAAUCAAACCGGGAGAUAGCUGGUUCUCCCCGAAAGCUAUUUAGGUAGCGCCUCGUGAACUCAUCUCCGGGGGUAGAGCACUGUUUCGGCAAGGGGGUCAUCCCGACUUACCAACCCGAUGCAAACUGCGAAUACCGGAGAAUGUUAUCACGGGAGACACACAGCGGGUGCUAACGUCCGUCGUGAAGAGGGAAACAACCCAGACCGCCAGCUAAGGUCCCAAAGUCAUGGUUAAGUGGGAAACGAUGUGGGAAGGCCCAGACAGCCAGGAUGUUGGCUUAGAAGCAGCCAUCAUUUAAAGAAAGCGUAAUAGCUCACUGGUCGAGUCGGCCUGCGCGGAAGAUGUAACGGGGCUAAACCAUGCACCGAAGCUGCGGCAGCGACGCUUAUGCGUUGUUGGGUAGGGGAGCGUUCUGUAAGCCUGUGAAGGUGUGCUGUGAGGCAUGCUGGAGGUAUCAGAAGUGCGAAUGCUGACAUAAGUAACGAUAAAGCGGGUGAAAAGCCCGCUCGCCGGAAGACCAAGGGUUCCUGUCCAACGUUAAUCGGGGCAGGGUGAGUCGACCCCUAAGGCGAGGCCGAAAGGCGUAGUCGAUGGGAAACAGGUUAAUAUUCCUGUACUUGGUGUUACUGCGAAGGGGGGACGGAGAAGGCUAUGUUGGCCGGGCGACGGUUGUCCCGGUUUAAGCGUGUAGGCUGGUUUUCCAGGCAAAUCCGGAAAAUCAAGGCUGAGGCGUGAUGACGAGGCACUACGGUGCUGAAGCAACAAAUGCCCUGCUUCCAGGAAAAGCCUCUAAGCAUCAGGUAACAUCAAAUCGUACCCCAAACCGACACAGGUGGUCAGGUAGAGAAUACCAAGGCGCUUGAGAGAACUCGGGUGAAGGAACUAGGCAAAAUGGUGCCGUAACUUCGGGAGAAGGCACGCUGAUAUGUAGGUGAAGUCCCUCGCGGAUGGAGCUGAAAUCAGUCGAAGAUACCAGCUGGCUGCAACUGUUUAUUAAAAACACAGCACUGUGCAAACACGAAAGUGGACGUAUACGGUGUGACGCCUGCCCGGUGCCGGAAGGUUAAUUGAUGGGGUUAGCGGUAACGCGAAGCUCUUGAUCGAAGCCCCGGUAAACGGCGGCCGUAACUAUAACGGUCCUAAGGUAGCGAAAUUCCUUGUCGGGUAAGUUCCGACCUGCACGAAUGGCGUAAUGAUGGCCAGGCUGUCUCCACCCGAGACUCAGUGAAAUUGAACUCGCUGUGAAGAUGCAGUGUACCCGCGGCAAGACGGAAAGACCCCGUGAACCUUUACUAUAGCUUGACACUGAACAUUGAGCCUUGAUGUGUAGGAUAGGUGGGAGGCUUUGAAGUGUGGACGCCAGUCUGCAUGGAGCCGACCUUGAAAUACCACCCUUUAAUGUUUGAUGUUCUAACGUUGACCCGUAAUCCGGGUUGCGGACAGUGUCUGGUGGGUAGUUUGACUGGGGCGGUCUCCUCCUAAAGAGUAACGGAGGAGCACGAAGGUUGGCUAAUCCUGGUCGGACAUCAGGAGGUUAGUGCAAUGGCAUAAGCCAGCUUGACUGCGAGCGUGACGGCGCGAGCAGGUGCGAAAGCAGGUCAUAGUGAUCCGGUGGUUCUGAAUGGAAGGGCCAUCGCUCAACGGAUAAAAGGUACUCCGGGGAUAACAGGCUGAUACCGCCCAAGAGUUCAUAUCGACGGCGGUGUUUGGCACCUCGAUGUCGGCUCAUCACAUCCUGGGGCUGAAGUAGGUCCCAAGGGUAUGGCUGUUCGCCAUUUAAAGUGGUACGCGAGCUGGGUUUAGAACGUCGUGAGACAGUUCGGUCCCUAUCUGCCGUGGGCGCUGGAGAACUGAGGGGGGCUGCUCCUAGUACGAGAGGACCGGAGUGGACGCAUCACUGGUGUUCGGGUUGUCAUGCCAAUGGCACUGCCCGGUAGCUAAAUGCGGAAGAGAUAAGUGCUGAAAGCAUCUAAGCACGAAACUUGCCCCGAGAUGAGUUCUCCCUGACUCCUUGAGAGUCCUGAAGGAACGUUGAAGACGACGACGUUGAUAGGCCGGGUGUGUAAGCGCAGCGAUGCGUUGAGCUAACCGGUACUAAUGAACCGUGAGGCUUAACCUUACAACGCCGAAG
RNAcentral lists this ribosomal RNA (2568 nucleotides) under Escherichia coli. RNAcentral describes it as "bacterial LSU rRNA". It matches the Rfam family "Bacterial large subunit ribosomal RNA", at positions 391 to 2925 of the family's 2925-position model. The record is from RNAcentral. Lineage: Bacteria; Pseudomonadati; Pseudomonadota; Gammaproteobacteria; Enterobacterales; Enterobacteriaceae.